GGCGGAGUUUAUGAACUUUCACACCGAGCGCUGGCGACGGUGGACAGAUAUGUUUUCUGUUGGUUCAUUCGACCCUUUGUGAGGGUUUUAACUUCUUAUUCUUAUUAUUUUGUACCAAGUUUUUUUUUUUUUUUUAUUUCUCUGCGCCAAGAUGAUGCGCUUCCUGCUCCUCUUCAGUCGCCAAGGGAAGCUUCGUCUACAGAAAUGGUACACGCCUCUGACUGAGCGAGAGAAGAAAAAGAUAAUCAGAGAUAUGACUACCAUGGUGUUGGCACGGCAACCACGAUCAUGUAACUUCUUACACUGGAAAGACUUGAAAAUUAUUUAUAAGAGGUAUGCCAGCUUGUAUUUCUGCUUGGGUGUGGAAAGCGAAGAGAAUGAGCUAUUGGCUCUGGAAGUCAUCCAUCGCUAUGUGGAGCUGCUUGACAAAUACUUUGGCAAUGUGUGUGAGCUGGACAUAAUCUUUAACUUUGAGAAAGCCUAUUUUAUCCUCGAUGAAUUUCUAAUGGGCGGAGAAGUACAGGAAACUUCCAAACAGACCAUAAACCGGUGCAUUGAAAACUCUGAUAUGUUACAAGAGGAUGACAACAAUGAGUGGUAUGAGGUGGAGCUGUUUGGAUGACCGUGAAUUUGGACAGAAAGGUUAGAUGCUUUGCUUGUGUCGGUGUGUGUUAGUUUUCUCAGCAGACCAUGGAGGAGUAUAUGAGCAAGCCUGCAUUCUGACCGUGGAAUCAUGGACCUUUGAUAUAAAGAGCUAAAAUGUACUGUAAAAAAUAUAUUUGGAAUGGAAAUUAUUUUUAAAGAGGAAUUAUGAUCAUUUGCAUAUAUUCUGCCUAAAACAUUGCUUGUUCAAGGUAAUAAUUUAAUUGUUUUUAUACAGAAUGCACAGUUUAGAAUUUGCUUGUUCAGGGAAGAUAAAGUGGAAUUAGAUUUAGAGUUUUUGUAAUUACACCAAGGCUAUUUAUAAAGAUGUGAUGUGUUUAUUAAACCACUACAAUAUAAGGGAAAUGGAAAUCCUAGCACAUCUUUUUCUAAGGAUAAUUAUGCUGUCUAAUUUUUUAAUUAUAGAAAAUAUUUGCAGUUGAAGUGUCAGUAGUGUGUGUACUCUGCAGUUUGCUAGAGUGGGUGUGAGGAUAUUGUAAUGUGCAAUUUUGAUAUGUUGUAGCUCUAAAUUAAAAUAAUGUAGUUUGA
Boleophthalmus pectinirostris (great blue-spotted mudskipper) is the source of this 1191-nucleotide RNA transcript. It is a transcript of the gene named adaptor related protein complex 1 subunit sigma 3b, with no coding region annotated. NCBI's taxonomy places the organism in Eukaryota, Metazoa, Chordata, Actinopteri, Gobiiformes, Gobiidae. The transcript is spliced from 6 exons. The record is from RefSeq and is a predicted model, not a curated record.